RNAcentral lists this ribosomal RNA (397 nucleotides) under uncultured bacterium. Its description in RNAcentral is "partial 16S ribosomal RNA". It matches the Rfam family "Bacterial small subunit ribosomal RNA", at positions 523 to 918 of the family's 1533-position model. The record is from RNAcentral.
AUACGUAGGGGGCGAGCGUUGUCCGGAAUGAUUGGGCGUAAAGGGCGCGUAGGCGGCCCGGUAAGUCUGGAGUGAAAGUCCUGUUUUUAAGAUGGGAAUUGCUUUGGAUACUGUCGGGCUUGAGUGCAGGAGAGGUAAGUGGAAUUCCCAGUGUAGCGGUGAAAUGCGUAGAGAUUGGGAGGAACACCAGUGGCGAAGGCGACUUACUGGACUGUAACUGACGCUGAGGCGCGAAAGUGUGGGGAGCAAACAGGAUUAGAUACCCGGGUAGUCCACACUGUAAACGAUGAAUGCUAGGUGUAGGGGGUAUCGACCCCUUCUGUGCCGCAGUCAACACAAUAAGCAUUCCGCCUGGGGAGUACGGCCGCAAGGUUGAAACUCAAAUGAAUUGACGGGG